UGGGUGAUAUGGCGAUGGUUGAGCUGGGAGAAAACUGUCCCUUGCUUAAAGAAAUAGUACUUUCACACUCCCGUCAAAUUACUGACGUUGGUCUAGCACAUCUUGUGAAAAGUUGCACGAUGCUGGAAUCAUGUCACAUGGUUUAUUGCUCUGGUAUAACUUCAGCUGGUGUAGCCACGGUUGUUUCUAGCUGUCCCAACAUAAAGAAGGUACUUGUUGAAAAGUGGAAGGUUAGCCAGCGGACCAAGCGACGCGCCGGCUCAGUCAUCGCCUACUUGUGUGUGGACCUUUAGAGACCUUUGGUAUAUAUUUGCAUCUUUGGGAAUUUUUUUCAGUCUGAUAUAUUAAUAAAGCUGCUGGCAAGUUGCAGCCUGAAUUUAUUUCUAGUAUAAAAGAGGAGGCAAUACUAGGAUAUGCAUGGGCACAUAUGUUGUAAAUUAAGCAGCUCUUUGGUCCCUUACAGGAUAUGUAUCAAGAGUGUAGAAACCUUGGUAAGAGAAAUAAAUGUUAUUGAUACUUUGAUAGUAGCAUGAUUUAUGGUUAGAUACAUAUAAAUGGAUUUUAUGAGAUAUGAUCCUGAUGUUGCUGUAAUACAUAAUAGAAGAAUCUUGUCGAGCAAACUUAGGUACUGAUCAAGUAUAAUUCCAGAACAUGAAAUGUUAGAGCACAAUUUUUUCGUUGUAUUUGAACCAGCUCUAGCUAGUUUUUUUCCCUCCAAAAAUACUGGUCCCUUGGUAAAUGGUAAUCUAGCAUUCUCCAGAAUAUUUUUUUCUUAAAAAGAUGCUUGAAUUUUAACAAACGAAAUUAUGUGAUCGAGUAAAUGUAAAAAGAGUUAAAAGCAAAGUUAUUUGAUCCUUUCACAUGAAACAUUGAGAUUGAAAGUUGUUUUUGGGGCAAUAUUUGGUGGAUGAAAGUUAAUUUCUAUAUGAAAUGACAUCAUAUAUGUAUAUUACUAAAGAUAGGAAAACUCGAACCCACAAUCUCUUAGGUGAGUAUGGAGAGACAAUGUCAUUUGAGUUAUAACUCAUUGGCAAAUGACAUCAUAUAUUUGAAGGUUAAUUUAUUAGACAAUAUACUAGAUUUGGAGAAAUAUAUCUUUAAAAAGUUUUAUAAAAAUAAAAUUUUAACCUGAUUUUUUAUAAGUACUAGCAUUAAGAAUAGAUUGCACUGUAUUUAUUGAAUUCAUAAUUCAUGGAUGAGAAAUUGUAAAAAACAUGGUGAUUAUUUUAGGCUAAGUUACGAAAAACUUCUCUGUAUACGAUAUUUAUCGUUGUAUUAGGAAGUACAGAUGAAUGAUUCUGAAUCAAAACUCUCAGUCCUUGCUUAGAUUUUACUCGUGACAAAGCAACGUACAAUUGCCCAUGAGUGAAAACAGGCCUAGGCAGGUACAACCUAACUGUGCUUAACGUUUGUCCUUGUGACUUAUUAAUAGUCAUAGCGAACGAAACGAUAAUGGGAAACUGUCUCCGCUGAAACCUGAAUGGAAGAGUCUGGUUGUUAGAUAUCAUGUUCAUGCGUGGAAUUAGUACCACCUGCCCAGUUUUGUCUCCAGUCAAUGUCAUACAUUCAAUUACAUGAGUGCCCAGCCUUCUUACCUGUAGCCUUGUUCCGUUACAUAACCCACUUGAUUGAUCAAUAUUACGGAAAAACAUCACAGGCACGCCUUCUUUCAAUGUUAGUUGGUGUGGAGGCAGUCCGGAGCAAUUAAUGGCAUUUAGGACAUCUGGGGUUAGCGUUUCUAACUCGGAUUCCAUGUUCCCUUCCUCAAAGCACAAUGUAUCGGAGCUAAGAUAAGUUUUUUCCUCACCACUUAAUUGUUGCAUUACGUAUGCAUUGACCUCGUUAACCACUUCCAACGUGGGAGCAAGAAUUGAUCUUUCCUUGAAGUAUUCCAUGCGGUUAAUGUUGUUCAACAAUUUUGGAUAGACAAAUAUCACCAAUUCACGAAAUGCCUCUGCACUAUCAUGUAUUAACAUUUCUUUUGGAAUCUCCACCUCUGAUUCGCCUUCUGUUGAGUCCCUUACCAACACAUCACCAAUUUUUAGUAGCCAGUCAGCAAAUUCUUUGAUCAUGCUUACCUCAGAUACAUUCGUUCCCAUUGUUAGUCGCAUGUUUUCUGUUAGUGUAAGGACCUGGCAGAAGCGCCACAAAUAUGAAGAGUUUAUUGAAGCAUGCACAAUUUCUUGACGUGAUCCCAUUGGAAUGACAGGUAGUAUCUGUCUAAAGUCUCCACCUAGGACGACAACCUUCCCCAUGAAAGGCAAAUCUGCAUUGUAGUAAGACUCGAACCUAAGUAUGUCGCACAAGCACUUAUCCAGUAAUUCAUAACAAAGUUUGUUCAACAUUGGUGCCUCAUCCCAGAUGAUUAGUUUAGCCUUGCAGACCAACCUUGCCAAUGAACUUCCUUGUUUAAUGCAACAUAUUGAGUCCUCAUUUAUAUCCAAGGGUAUCUUAAACCUGGAAUGCGCAGUACGCCCAUUUGGAAGGAGUAGAGAGGCAAUGCCACUUGAUGCAACAUUGAGCACAAUAUGACCUUCACUACGAAUUGCAGCUGAAAGGGUCAUUUAUAGAUAUGUCUUACCGGUCCCACCAUACCCAUAGACAAAGAAGAAACCACCUUCGUGCUUGUUAACAGCAUUAUUUAUGAUAUGAAAUGCCUUUCUUUGAGCUUCAUUCAUGCUCUGUAAGUUUGAUGACAAAUUGACAACUCAUCCUUUAGAGAUGAUAAGUCAAAGUUAAGCUCGUCCAUCAACAUUCUGUCGUCUAAUCCAUCAAUAACAUCCAGAGUUGGUAGAGGCAUAUGAUCAUACUCUUUGAGAGAGCGACCAUUGGCCUGUAGUUUCUUCUCUAUCUUUGUUAACGUCAUAUUCAUUAUUUGUUCCUCAGAUAGGUGUAUGUCUGCACAUGAGAAUUAGUGGGGUUACUAACCAGAAUAAUUAUCCUUAGUAGAUGUAUGCUUCAUGAGUUUAGAAGAGGCAAUACAUAUGCAUUUGGUCUAACCUUCGCAUUGCAUGCAUUUCCUUUGUGAGUAUAGUACAUCUUCAGAUAGUACAUGACAGCAUUGCUGCCAUACAAUUGCUGGUCUACCAAUGUUAUUUGACAAUAGCAGCACAACAAAAAGGUCUCAAAGAUAGUUUGCAAACGCCCAUGUGCUUGCCUCUAGUAAUGCAUCAAUGAAAUCUUUGUCGUCUUGCAGCAACCCCAGUGCAUAACAGGCUUCCUUAAAUGUGUCAUAUAGAACACCAUCAACAGUGCGUAAAUCAACAAAACUUAGGCACCCCUUCUGUAUAUUUAGUAACAGCCUCAGAUAGUAGUCAUCGUCGUUCCCACGUGGAACAUGUGUUAGUCUCCCAACUGAAAAUCCUUGCUUCCUCGGCAUGCACAUUGAAAUAUCAUCCUUCUAUACAAACUUGGUUGGAAAUUGGCUAUACGUUAAGGAUCUACCGAAUUCGAACAAUCUAUUUGCAAGCAUCCAUGCCAGAAGCUUUGUCAACUUCCCAUCAAUUAUGUCGAUAACAUCCACAAUGUUUUCAUGGUCUCUAAAUACGCAUUGCGGUUGGAGAGCAUUGUAAUUUGCUAACUGAUCUUAGCAUCCGAUUCUGUGAUAGGUAAAACCUUUCUCACUACAUAUCUAUCGCUCCAUUUUCCACUGAAAAUUUGAAAUCAUUUUCACCUACACUAACAAUUUUGUCUGGUUGUUUUAUUGUGUUGAUAACUCCUGUACUUCUUUUCUUAUAUCAUCAGUACUAUUGUGUAGAAUGUCUACAUUAAUCAUGUUUGUUAAAUUACUAGGGUUGGGGAUGAGGCUCUUAUCGCAGUAUCUGAGGGUUGUAACCUUCAGUAUCUCAAUGUUAGUGGUUGCCACCUAGUUGGAGAUGCUGGAGUGAUAGCCAUUGCAAGGGGAUGCCCUCAACUCUGUUAUAUAGAUGUGAGCGUGCUGCCGGUAUGUGCUCAUCUCUGUCUCUCUUUCUAUAUCGAAAGUACAUAUAGCUUUUUUAAGUUCCAUGUUUCAACUAUUUGCUUUCUAAUUUUCGUGGUCUUUUCCAAGAUUUUCUUGAUUCCAUCAUUGUUGUUCCCCUAAAAUAGCAUUGAUGAACUACAUUCACAUUUUUAAGUAGUGCAUAGAUUUUUUAGUAUAUUUGGAGAUACUUGAUGCCAAACCCCUGCUUUAGGCAUAUAUGUGGACUCUGCAACUGCACUGCAUAAUCACUUAAUAUCUAUGUGAAAGUUGAAUAUUUCAUUAUGAAUAUAGUACUUUUUUUGUUCAAUUUUUUGUUUACGUUUCAAUUCAUUUUUUUCCUCAUCACAAUUGCAGAAGUUGGGUGAUAUGGCGAUGGUUGAGCUGGGAGAAAACUGUCCCUUGCUUAAAGAAAUAGUACUUUCACACUCCCGUCAAAUUACUGACGUUGGUCUAGCACAUCUUGUGAAAAGUUGCACGAUGCUGGAAUCAUGUCACAUGGUUUAUUGCUCUGGUAUAACUUCAGCUGGUGUAGCCACGGUUGUUUCUAGCUGUCCCAACAUAAAGAAGGUACUUGUUGAAAAGUGGAAGGUUAGCCAGCGGACCAAGCGACGCGCCGGCUCAGUCAUCGCCUACUUGUGUGUGGACCUUUAGAGACCUUUGGUAUAUAUUUGCAUCUUUGGGAAUUUUUUUCAGUCUGAUAUAUUAAUAAAGCUGCUGGCAAGUUGCAGCCUGAAUUUAUUUCUAGUAUAAAAGAGGAGGCAAUACUAGGAUAUGCAUGGGCAC
RNAcentral lists this long non-coding RNA (4744 nucleotides) under Arachis ipaensis. RNAcentral describes it as "long non-coding RNA (AIPA_LNC000205)". The record is from RNAcentral. Lineage: Eukaryota; Viridiplantae; Streptophyta; Magnoliopsida; Fabales; Fabaceae.